AAAGGCGCGCGACGAGGGAGCCCGUGAGUGUUCGAGGAACGUGCGAGGCUUGCUGCUGCUGCGCGAGGCUGCUGUUGCUGUUGCGCGAGGUUGUUGUUGCUGCUGUGCGAGUUGUGCGACGAAGCUCGAAGCGUGUGCGAGGCUGCUGCUGUGCGAAUCAAGGGCUGGUUCGAGCGUAGUCGUGCGGCUGCUGUGGUAGAGCGUGGGGUUGUGUGUCGUUGACGGAAAUCGGUCGCCGGAACUUGAUUUCCGGCGAGCUUAACGGUCCCAAUUUCAUAAGCGGAACGUUCGAUUAAGACAGCGAAAAUUCUCCGUUACAAGACUAGGUGUGCUGGUGCUGCUGCAUAAUCUCGAGCAUACGGGGACUAGGCUUGGGUAUUUACAUUUAAAGCAUUUUGAAAUAAGUAUUAUUGGUUUUUCUAAGACUUAUAUAUGGUUUGUGGUUUGUGGUUUGAAUGAAAGGGGUCAUUGAUGAUUCCCGAGUUGUAUUUAUAUUUUAAUUCCGCUGCAUUUUAGUUUUCAAGUUAAUGUUUUAAGUUAU
This is a long non-coding RNA of Beta vulgaris subsp. vulgaris (sugar beet), 541 nucleotides long. RefSeq lists it as uncharacterized. The record is from RefSeq and is a predicted model, not a curated record. The transcript is spliced from 3 exons. NCBI's taxonomy places the organism in Eukaryota, Viridiplantae, Streptophyta, Magnoliopsida, Caryophyllales, Amaranthaceae.